AGACACGGCCCAAACUCCUACGGGAGGCAGCAGUAGGGAAUCUUCCACAAUGGGCGAAAGCCUGAUGGAGCAACGCCGCGUGGGUGAAGAAGGUCUUCGGAUCGUAAAACCCUGUUGUUAGAGAAGAAAGUGCGUGAGAGUAACUGUUCACGUUUCGACGGUAUCUAACCAGAAAGCCACGGCUAACUACGUGCCAGCAGCCGCGGUAAUACGUAGGUGGCAAGCGUUAUCCGGAUUUAUUGGGCGUAAAGGGAACGCAGGCGGUCUUUUAAGUCUGAUGUGAAAGCCUUCGGCUUAACCGGAGUAGUGCAUUGGAAACUGGGAGACUUGAGUGCAGAAGAGGAGAGUGGAACUCCAUGUGUAGCGGUGAAAUGCGUAGAUAUAUGGAAGAACACCAGUGGCGAAAGCGGCUCUCUGGUCUGUAACUGACGCUGAGGUUCGAAAGCGUGGGUAGCAAACAGGAUUAGAUACCCUGGUAGUCCACGCCGUAAACGAUGAGUGCUAAGUGUUGGAGGGUUUCCGCCCUUCA
RNAcentral lists this ribosomal RNA (529 nucleotides) under uncultured bacterium. Its description in RNAcentral is "bacterial SSU rRNA". It matches the Rfam family "Bacterial small subunit ribosomal RNA", at positions 322 to 842 of the family's 1533-position model. The record is from RNAcentral.